This 994-nucleotide long non-coding RNA is filed under the name Homo sapiens (human). RNAcentral describes it as "non-protein coding LINC00620:1". Lineage: Eukaryota; Metazoa; Chordata; Mammalia; Primates; Hominidae. The record is from RNAcentral.
GCCACUGAAUCUCCUGCCUGGAUCCUCACCCCUAUUCUCCAGCCCCUGCCAGGGAUCCUUGCUCCAAAUAAAUAAGACCACUUUCUCUUCUGCUUGGAACUCUCUAUGGCUCCUCCAGCUUCAUCCAUGUCCCUACAAAGGACAUGAACUCAAGGCUGGAUUAUUUUUCUAUGGGGCUUGUAGCAAAUUCCCACAAAUGGGGCAGGUGAAAACAACAAUCCCUGAAUGACUUUGUGGAGCUGAGCCCCUAGGCCACCCUGCAUUGGAUGUGAAAUGAGUGAGAAAUAAACUUACGAUCACCCAGAAAUGGCUCUGGCUUGGGCAGAGAGAAAGGUUUGGGCAGUUGUGGCAGCUGUUGCUGCUGCUGAUCUACCCUGCAUCCAUUCCUCUCCUUCCUUCUUCCUAACAGUACCAUAGGGGUGGGGGCAUGUGGAGAAAACAGAGAACCCCCAUAUAAGGGGGCUGCUUUUUCACUGAGCAGGGCACAUUGAGGGAACUGAAGAAAUUCCUGUGUGAGGAGGCUUGUCUACCACUCAGUGGGCUAUGUAGAGGAAACUGAGAGGACCCCUAUGUGAGGUGGCCAGUCUACCAUUGUGGUGGGGCAUUCCACCAUUUUACUUUUUGUUUUCUCAUGUCUUUUCUGUUCCUCUGUCAUUAUUACUUUAUUUCCUAUUAAGUGAUUUUUAAAAUGUAGCAUGUAUACCUCUUUAAUUAUUUUUACUACAUAUUUUUUAGUUAUUUUCUUAAUGAUUGCUCUAGGGCUUUCCCUAUACGUCUUACAUUUUCAGAAUCAGCUUUAGAUUUAUAUUAACUUAAAUUCAGCUAGAAAUUGAAAUAUUACUUCAAUGCAGCUCUAUUCCUCCCUUUCUUUUAGUGAUAUUGUUAUACAUAUCUAUAAAUAUUACAAACAAAAUAAUACAUUAUUAUAGAAUUAUUAUUUUAUGUAAUUUUAUAUUUUUGAAGACAAUAUAUCAUCUUAAAUUUUCAGAAUCAC